UCAAUCUGUGUGUGUCAGUCUGUAUGUCUAAGAUUGUAUCUGUGUGUUUAUGUGUCUGUGUGCAUCCACGUGUGGCAGAGUAUAUGUGUGGUUCUGUGUGUGGCAAUGUGCAUCUGUAUGUGUGCGUGACAAUUUAUCUGCAUAUGUGAACAUUUUCUUGCAUGCAUAUACCAACAUCACACACAAACAUACCCCUGUAUUCAAACGCUAACACUACACACAACAGAACCCCUGCAUUCAAACAUUAAAGGACCACUAUAGGCACCCAGACCACUUCAGCUUAAUGAAGUGGUCUGGGUGCCA
This is a non-coding RNA of Pelobates cultripes (western spadefoot toad), 303 nucleotides long. The record is from the annotation of a GenBank genome assembly. NCBI's taxonomy places the organism in Eukaryota, Metazoa, Chordata, Amphibia, Anura, Pelobatidae.